RNAcentral lists this ribosomal RNA (467 nucleotides) under uncultured bacterium. RNAcentral's name for it is "partial 16S ribosomal RNA". It matches the Rfam family "Bacterial small subunit ribosomal RNA", at positions 29 to 507 of the family's 1533-position model. The record is from RNAcentral.
ACGAACGCUGGCGGCGUGCUUCACACCUGCAAGUCGAACGGAAAGGCCCUGCUUUUGUGGGGUGCUCGAGUGGCGAACGGGUGAGUAACACGUGAGUAACCUGCCCUUGACUUUGGGAUAACUUCAGGAAACUGGGGCUAAUACCGGAUAGGAGCUCCUGCUGCAUGGUGGGGGUUGGAAAGUUUCGGCGGUUGGGGAUGGACUCGCGGCUUAUCAGCUUGUUGGUGGGGUAGUGGCUUACCAAGGCCUUGACGGGUAGCCGGCCUGAGAGGGUGACCGGCCACAUUGGGACUGAGAUACGGCCCAGACUCCUACGGGAGGCAGCAGUGGGGAAUAUUGCACAAUGGGCGGAAGCCUGAUGCAGCAACGCCGCGUGCGGGAUGACGGCCUUCGGGUUGUAAACCGCUUUCGCCUGUGACGAAGCGUGAGUGACGGUAAUGGGUAAAGAAGCACCGGCUAACUACGUG